AUACAUGCUUUAUUGGUUUGGAUC
This 24-nucleotide non-coding RNA is filed under the name Arabidopsis thaliana (thale cress). Lineage: Eukaryota; Viridiplantae; Streptophyta; Magnoliopsida; Brassicales; Brassicaceae. The record is from RNAcentral.